GGCGAGUGAAGCGGUAACAGCUCAAAUUUGAAAUCUGGCCUCACGGUCCGAGUUGUAAUUUGUAGAGGAUGCUUCGAGCAUGGUCUGGCCUAAGUUCCUUGGAACAGGACGUCAUAGAGGGUGAGAAUCCCGUAUGCGGCCAGGUGCCUACGCUCAUGUGAAGCUCCUUCGACGAGUCGAGUUGUUUGGGAAUGCAGCUCAAAAUGGGUGGUAAAUUUCAUCUAAAGCUAAAUAUUGGCCAGAGACCGAUAGCGCACAAGUAGAGUGAUCGAAAGAUGAAAAGCACUUUGGAAAGAGAGUUAAACAGUACGUGAAAUUGUUGAAAGGGAAGCGCUUGCAACCAGACUUGCGCGCGGCCGAUCAUCCGGUGUUCUCACCGGUGCACUCGGCCGUGCUCAGGCCAGCAUCGGUUUUGGCGGCUGGAUAAAGGCCCUAGGAAUGUAGCUCCUCUCGGGGAGUGUUAUAGCCUAGGGUGCAAUGCAGCCUGCUGGGACCGAGGACCGCGCUUCGGCUAGGAUGCUGGCGUAAUGGUUGUAAGCGGCCCGUCUUGAAACACGGACCAAGGAGUCUAACAUCUAUGCGAGUGUUUGGGUGUCAAACCCAUACGCGUAAUGAAAGUGAACGGAGGUGAGAACCCUUAAGGGUGCAUCAUCGACCGGUCCUGAAGUUUACGGAAGGAUCUGAGUAAGAGCAUAGCUGUUGGGACC
RNAcentral lists this ribosomal RNA (707 nucleotides) under Pseudogymnoascus sp. RNAcentral's name for it is "partial large subunit ribosomal RNA". It matches the Rfam family "Eukaryotic large subunit ribosomal RNA", at positions 88 to 816 of the family's 3401-position model. The record is from RNAcentral. Lineage: Eukaryota; Fungi; Ascomycota; Leotiomycetes; Thelebolales; Thelebolaceae.